Salmo salar (Atlantic salmon) is the source of this 5918-nucleotide RNA transcript. It is a transcript of the gene named NLR family, CARD domain containing 3, with no coding region annotated. NCBI's taxonomy places the organism in Eukaryota, Metazoa, Chordata, Actinopteri, Salmoniformes, Salmonidae. The record is from RefSeq and is a predicted model, not a curated record.
AAGAGGUGCAAUGUCAAACAGCUCAGCGAGAGCAGAGUCCCCCCUUAACUGAGCGACAAGUUACUUUUUACGAUUAUUUACUUUGUUAGCAAAAUUUCUUGUCACAAGUAGCACCUUCAGUGCUGAAGCAGCAUUAAGCCGUCUAGUCAGAAGAAGUGUCUCCAGAGGAUAUCUAUUUUUGGAGGGUUUGUCUGAGAGUUCCUUUCAGGCCAGCUGCAGACAGCGAGAGCAAGAUCCACUAAACCAAAGCAGCUGUUCCAUUUCUAUCCCACCCCACAAUAUGAGGUAGAGGACUUGGGUUUAGGGUCAUUAAUGCUCACACCUGUUGAAACCCGACCCACAGCUGCACCAGUCGCCCACGAGUAAUCGGAGAUGGAGAAAGGUGGACAGGCAUAUCUUUAGACAGGAACAAGCAACAGCUCCAUGGAAAGAAACACCCAUUACAAUUCUAUUCUGGACAGAAACAAGCGUAUCGCAUGGCAAGAGGACUGCUAUGUUGACCUCCAGUCUACCCCCACCUCAACUUCCACCAAGGGAGAGAUGGAAGAUGUGGGCUGGAUCCAGAAACAUCAGGGGCAUCUGCAGCGCUUCAUUACCACUCCCCUCCUGGAGGGGGCGCUGUCCCACAUGAGGAAGCUGGAGCUGCUGAGCCAGGGUGAGGAGGCCCAGGUACAGGCUGGGGGGCAGCUGCAGGAGCGGGUGGGCACCCUCACCUCCAUCCUGGCCAGCAUGGACCCCCAGGGCUCCAACGCUCUCCAGGCCUUCCUUGAGAACUCUGACUCCCAGAUGUACCGGCUUAUCACGAUGCACGACCCCAUGGUUCAGGAGCACAAGGAGGCUCUUCUGUUGCAGUAUCCCACACCAAGUGACAGCCUCUCCCCUGGCCCCUGUAGCCCAGAAUUCUCCUCCUCCAGAAUCUUGCUCCUGGUCGACGGCCUCUCGGACCUCCAGCAGAAGGAGCACGACCUCAUGCAGGUGGAGGCCACCCGUGGGGCGCGGAGACACCACGUCAGACAGCUGGCCCUGGCCAAACUCCUGGAGCCCCUCACACGGGUCAGCCUGCCCCCCAGGGUCUCCCUCACCGUGGGAGUGGCCGGCAUCGGCAAGAGCACCCUUGUGGGACAUUUUGUACGCCUUUGGAGCAGAGGCGAGAUCUGCACGGACGUGAGUUUUGUCUUGCCCUUUGCCUUCUGGGAGCUGAACACUGGGGAGAAGCUGUCGGCCGAAAGACUGGUGAAGCUGGCCUUCCCUCACAUGACGGACCCCAGCCUGGUGCUGAGUGGUACAUGUCGGACAUUGCUGAUUUUCGACGGUCUGGACGAGUUCCGUUGUCCUCUGGACUUCUCGGAGACUGUGCCUUGCACAGACCCCAAGAAGGAGGUGUCGGUGGACGACUUGGUCACCAACAUCAUCCGGGGCAACCUGCUCCCUGAAGCAGCGGUGUGGGUGACCUCCAGGCCGGCGGUGGCCUCGUUGAUUCCUGGGGGACUAGUGGACAGGUUGACCGAGAUCCCCGGAUUCAGCCCGAAGGAAAUCCGGCUGUUCCUGAGCCACAACUUCCCUAAGGGAGAUACUGCCAGUCAGAUAUGGACUCACUUGGAGUCCAACAAGAUCUUCAUGGUGAUGUCUUACAUGCCUUGCAUUUGCUGGAUAGUGGCGGUUACCUUUGGGUACCUGUUGGAGAGUGGCUGGCAGGAGGGUCUUCCCAGGACCUGCACUGAGCUCUACUCCCACUUCUGCGCUAUGAGAGCCGAAGCAGGUGAGCCCAGAGGCAGAGAGCCUAUCAAGAUGGACCAGCUUAACGGGAACAACCGCAAGCUGCUGGGAAGUCUGGGCCGACUGGCCUUCUACGGACUUCUGAAGCACAAAUACACCUUCAGUGAGCAGGACAUGAGGGCCUAUGGAGUAGACCUUCCAUCCACCCAGGGUGGCCUAGGAACUGGAGUACUGAUCCGCGAGGAUUCCCCGAAUUGUGUGGCCUACCGCUUCACCCACCUGACUGUGCAGGAGUUCUUAGCAGCCACAUACUACCACAUCUGCUCCAAACGUGCCAUCUUUGACCUGUUCACCGAGAGCGCCAUGUCCUGGCCCAAGAUCGGCUUCCAGAACCACUUCAGGAGCGCCCUGCAGCGGUCCCAGCAGGCAGAGGAUGGUCACCUGGACGUGUUUGUGCGGUUCCUGGCGGGGUUGCUGUGUCCAGCGGCAGUGCGGCCGCUGGCAGGCCUGCUGGCCCAGGGGAAGGACGAUGGGGGCCAAAGGGUUUGGGCGGCUGGGCUGCUGCAGGACCUCCUGGGCAGCGGUGGUGCUGUGGUGUCACUACGCUCAGUGAACGUGGCCUACUGCCUGCAGGAGCUGCAGCAUACAGAGGUGCUACGCAGCGUGGAGGAGGACCUGCGCUGUGGUGGCCUGGGAGGGAAGCUGACACGGACACACUGCACAGCGCUGGCCUACCUGCUACAGGUGUCUCCAGAGUGCAGCGAGGAGAUCAACCUGUCGGCAUGUCUGGACUACUCCACUGUAAAAAGCUUGCUGCCUCAGCUGCUCUACUGCAGCCAUCUCAGAUUGGAAAAUAACCAUUUUAAAGAUGAUGUCAUGGAACUGCUGGGAAGCUUACUGAGUGCAAAGGACUGCCACCUUCAGAAGAUAAGUCUGGCAGAGAACGCUAUCAGCAACAAAGGGGCCAAGGCCCUGAGUCGAGCACUACUGGUUAACCGGACGCUAAUUACGCUUGAUCUCCGUAGCAACAACAUUGGAUCUAAAGGCGCCAAGUUUCUAGCAGAAGCCCUCAAAAUGAAUCAGGUCCUGGUGUCCAUCAAUUUCCAAAAUAAUCUCAUUGAGGAGGAGGGCGCUCGCGCCCUGGCUGAGGUGCUUCUGUCCAACCGCAAACUUGUCUCGCUGAAUGUACAGAAGAAUUGUAUUGGAGCAGAUGGAGCCAAGAGGAUUGCAGAAGCGCUAAAGACAAACCGGACACUUACAGAACUGAUUCUGAGCAGUAACCAGCUGGGGGACAAAGGCACUGCAGCCCUGGCCCAGGCCCUGACCGUCAACCACAGCCUCCACUCGCUGCACCUGCAGAGUAACUCCAUCAGUAACAAAGGGAUGACUGCGUUAACCAAGGCUCUGCGGUUGAACCGUGGACUCAUCUGUCUGAACCUGCGUGAGAACUCGAUCGGGGUGGAGGGGGCGAAGGAUAUGGCCAGGGCACUGCAGGAGAACAGCUCUCUCCGACACCUGGAUCUUACAGCCAACCUGCUGCACGAUGAGGGGGUGAAAGCCAUAGCUGGAGCUGUGAAGGUCAACCGAGCACUUACUACUUUACGUCUCCAGUGGAAUUUCAUCAAGUGCACAGCCACUAAAUCCUUGGCCCAAGCUCUACUCACCAACUCCACCAUGCAGCUACUAGAUCUACAGGAAAAUGCCAUUGGGGAUGAAGGAGUGGUAGCUCUGGCAGGAGCCCUGAAGACCAAUGCGUCUCUCUGUGCAUUGUGUCUCCAGGGCGUAUCAGCAGGCAGGAGUGGUGCCAUCUCAAUGGCCGAGGCUCUAAUGGUCAACAAAACCCUGCACACUCUGGACCUACGAGGGAACUCCAUAGGGAUGGAGGGAGCCAAGGCUUUGGCUAAUGCACUGAAGACAAACAGAACACUCAAAUCAUUAAAUCUGCAGGAGAACUCUCUGGGAAUGGAUGGAGCCAUAUUCAUCGCCACAGCCCUGAAAGGAAACCACCAGCUAACUUAUAUAAACUUGCAGGGGAACGGCAUCGGAGAGUCGGGAGCAAAGGUCAUCUCUGAUGCCAUCAGAACCAACUCUCCAGACUGUGUGGUGGAGAUCUGACCUCAAGGGACGCCAGAGGUCAAAGGCCAUCGGUCCCCAGGCCCCCUGACGUCUAUGGUACCAACCAAAUACAACCCUAUGACUGAGGAGGACGCUCGCUCACCUCAAACCUCUCCUGCUCCAGUCUAUGGUAGUCCUCCAGCUGCUGCUCCAGGAAGCUCAGGUUACGGAACUUCUCCACGUAGGUCUCGUACUGCUUCUGCAGGUCCUCCUCAAUCUUUUCAUACUCAUCCAUGAAUGCUGGCCUGGGAGAGGAACAGGCAGUAUGGAUAUGGAUGGAAAGUUCAUUAUUCUGGACAGGAAGGUGGCCAACCUGCACUCUGCUGGGCAUGACUUACUCUAUGGCGCAGAGGCAUGUCAGAUGAGUAUCCUCCAUCACCUAUUGGAGGGGGUUCUUUCUCUCCCAAUCAUCCAGCGCCCCACUGUUCCAGGUGACUCACUAACUGGGCUUCUGAAUAAUAGCCCUACAACAGAGGCAAGGAGGAAUACCAGUACCCGAGGAAUCCUGAUGGCACUUCCCUACUACCCUCAGAAAUUCAAAUCCUGGGUAGUCUCGAAACAAGCUGGGUCUGAGUGGAACUGGGUUGCUGUGGAGAGCCGGUGUGGAGGCCGGCGGGAUGCUUCUCAGGUUUUCAACCAAUGAGGGGAGAGGGUGGAGGCCAGUGCACAGGCCAAUGGAGGAUCUCGGACUAUGACUACGAAGACAGUCCCAGUCUAGAAAAAGGCUCUGGACAACAGGGAGGACAAGGAGGGGGCAGAGAGGGCCCAGCAGAGGAAGAGAAAAGCUUCAAAGGGCGGCUUUGAGGACUCCGCCUCCUCCAGGAAGCACCCAAUGUGGUUGUAAAGAGAAAAGUGGGUGUGGUCAGAUGGGCAAGCAAGCACUUGGCCUACCUGUUUAAAGAUAUUCUCCGGUACUUCUAUAUUAUUUAGCCUGUAGUUCUGAAAUUAGCACCCACGAGCCAAAAGUGGUCCCCAAAAAGUGUGUACUACGUCACAAAUGUGCAGAUAUGUGCACCACGUCAUUGCUCUCUCGCUGCUGUGUGUGUGUCUUGCUAGCUGCCACUCAAAUGGUGAGGGGUUGAAGCUUGUUGGCUGAAACUCAAAUUGCUAGGUGGCUGGCCCACACGGGGGUAAAUCUAGGGGAAAUGGCGCCGCUCAGUUUCCAGAAAACAGUCGCUUUCAAACUAGGGAUUUUGUGGCUAAUUGAGGUAAAACAGUAAUUCUGCUUAUAGAUUAAGCAUGCAUGAACUACACAUUGACACAUCCAGCCCAAACCGGGAGGUUUAAAAAAAAUACUUCCUAGUCGCCAAAGUACCGGAGCAUGUCUUUAAGAUGCACUACACCAGCAUCCAGGGAUCCUCCAGUUAAACAGCUCCUCUGAUGUAUAUUACCUUACAUAAAACAACUGAAAUGUUUUUGUUGCAACUUUGCCAAAGUGUGCGCUGUCCUUUUUUACUCAAUUAUUCGAUUGUUUCUUGGGUUUUACAACCCUGCUAUAAUUUGUUAUUUUUUUUGGCUUGUGAGAACAGAGUUGAGCACAUUCCAUCUAUAUCUAUGAUGUUUUGGUCACAUCAAGUGUUAGAGCAUAGAAAAACAAAUCCACCUUAAUCAAUGUGCUACCAUACUACUUGCUGUCUGGAUUUGUCUCUUACAAUGUCUUUAAAAACACCCACACCAGUAGAAAUCCACUUUUUCGCGCUGAAAGAUGACGGCAAGAGCUUACCCAUGAUGUUGCACAAAGAUUUAAGUCAAUAAGUAAUCGUUUUAGCCCAAGUAUGAUAUAUUUGGCCUUGAAGUGACAAAUCCGAACUGCCCACUUCAUGCAAAUCUGUGUGAAUGAUAUGACAUACACAUACUUUUCAGCUUACGUUUUGUUUAAGGGCUGGGUUUUAUUUGAAUGUUACCACCCACCAGCAUGGCAUUGUUUAUUAAAUCAGAAACAGCUGCAAAUGAGAUGAGGCAAAUAGCCUUGUGUCCACUUGGCCACCUGAGCCGUGGAGCAAAUUAAAAUAGUAUUAUUUUGCACCUCCACAAGUGUCUAUCCAGAUAAUGAAAAGGCACCCACAAAAUAAAAUUUAAGGAACUUA